CCUGGGGCUUCAAAGGAAUACAAAGAAGGGAGGGUGCUGUGGACUGAAUUGUAUCCCCCCAAAUUCAUAUGUUACAGCCCUAACCUCCAAUGUGGCUGUACUUGGAGUAAGGAAGUAAUUAAGGUUGAAUGAGGUCGCAAGGGUGAACCCCUGAUCACCUAAGAUUGCUGUCUUUUUAAGAGCAGACACAAGAGAGCUUGCUUUCUCUCUGCCAUGUGAGGACACAGCAAAGAGAUGGCCAUCUACAAGUCAGGAAACAGGCUCUCGCUAGAAACCAAAUCUGCUGGCACCUUGACCUUGGACUUCUCAGCCUCCAGAACUGAUGACCUCCAGCCCUUCGUCUUCAUCCUGUCCGACUUCCGUGUGACACAACCUUCCAAGGUGUGCUCCAAAGUUAAGAAAACAACGGAAAGAGAGAAGAAAGCUUUACACUGACCUUCGAGGAGCUGUAAUCCUGAGAUCUGAAGAAAGUGUGCUAAGAUAACCCUGUUAAUUAAACUAAUUUUGAUUGGACGUUAUUCAUAUGUUAUCCACUUCCGAAGAUGUUAUUGGCAGCUUCCAACAAAAGAUGCAGACAUAAGAGAGCAAAAAUUCAGUUGUUUAAUCAGAAUUCAAUGAGACCCUAAUGUGUGCAAGGUCACAGGGGUGAGGGAGUUCAGCCUGUGCGCGAGCAGGGCCUUUGGAAUAACUUAUAACUGUGUAACUUGAGCGAGUUAUUUAAUAUCUUUGAGCAUGAGUUUCCUCUUCUGUAAAAGAGAGUUAAUAAUUAUAGUACCUAUCUCGCAGGAUUGUUAUGUGGCUUUAAGUGUCUAUAAAGUGUUUAACACCAUCUCUGGCAAUUAAAUGGGCACUUAAUACACAGGAACUAUUGCUGUGAUUGUUUAUUUUUGUGCUAGGAAAGCAAAUGAUGGAGGGGACAUUGUCCCUGCUCUAUAGGAGACACAGAGGUGGGGAAAGACUUGAUGUGUUGGGGGGGCAGUGCAGAGGGUGCCAAGCGAGCAGGAUAUGAGCAAUGGGAAGAAGCGAGCUAGGCUGUGCAGGGCGUAACUUUGGUUUUAUCCUAUUGGCCAUGAAAACCCACUGAAGCCCUGAGCCACUUGGCAGUUUGGAAAGAUCACUCUGAUAAUAAUGUGGAGGAUGGAUUGGAAUAGGAAGAGACAGGAGGCACUUAUGAGCCUGUUGUAAGACAUGAGGUAGAGAUGGAAAUAAUCUUUUUAGGACUUUGGCAGUGGAGAGGGAAAGUCAGGGACAGAGUCCAAGGCUUAUGCUACUUGGGAUGCUGCACUAGAAUGUCAGCUCCAUGACAUGUGCUCCACAUCAGCUCCAUGAGGGCAGGGGUCUUGGUUUUGUUCACUGAUGUGUCCCAAGCACCUAGAACAUAGCAGGUGCUCAACAAGUUUUUGUUGAAUGAGUGAGUA
RNAcentral lists this long non-coding RNA (1418 nucleotides) under Equus caballus (horse). RNAcentral describes it as "lncRNA (ENSECAG00000048400.1)". The record is from RNAcentral. Lineage: Eukaryota; Metazoa; Chordata; Mammalia; Perissodactyla; Equidae.